RNAcentral lists this unclassified non-coding RNA (205 nucleotides) under Hevea brasiliensis (rubber tree). The record is from RNAcentral. Lineage: Eukaryota; Viridiplantae; Streptophyta; Magnoliopsida; Malpighiales; Euphorbiaceae.
GCGGAGAGUCUGGCGCGGAGGCUGACGGACUGUGGUUUUCCGACGAAUUUGAGGAACUCGGAGUUUGGAGUGGCGGAGAAUGUGAGAAAAUGGAAGGAUAUUGUUGAGAAGAAACAAAAAAUGCUGGUUAAGAGUCGGAAUCGGGUGGCUGUUGCUUGGACUUUGGUUGCCUUGUGCUGUGGCUCACACGCAUCGCAUAUCUUGC